RNAcentral lists this small RNA (82 nucleotides) under Gallibacterium anatis str. Avicor. RNAcentral's name for it is "isrK". The record is from RNAcentral. Lineage: Bacteria; Pseudomonadati; Pseudomonadota; Gammaproteobacteria; Pasteurellales; Pasteurellaceae.
GCUUUCGCAAAAUCGAAAGCCAGCCGUGAGAAGCUGAAUAAUUUACAAUUGGCGAACAGCACGCCGUUAAACCGUGCUUUUU